GUAUCCGAUAUUUCAUAUCGAAAUUAGCAGAGAUUACGCAUUCUUCGCAAAAGCUAUGGCUUAACAUAAAUACUAAACGUAUAUUUUCAGAUUAUUAUGUAUAAUUUCGCUUGCUAAGAGCUGAAGAGAAGAAUUCCGAAAGCAGCGUACAAAUUUAAGAGAAAGCUGCAACAUUCGAAAGUGAAAUUUGAGCGUUGAAAUGAUUAUAAUUGAGUAACAAACAGAGAAACACAUCAAAUAACAACCAGCCUCUCGACCCACCACAGCAUCGAAACAGCGUAUACCAACCCAACGCCCAGCCAAAGCGACUUGAACAGCCGGCUAAUUAAGAAAUAAAAUAAAAAUAGAAAUCUAAGCGAAAAACUGCUGCCAUAUUUAUUCAUGCCAUAUUUAUUCAUGCACGUAGUUAUCUAUCUAGCAGUCGCUAUUGUGUCUCGCUUAUCUCAUUGGGUUCCACUAUUAUGGCGUUGGUCACGUUUUGGUCGCUCAUCGAUCAACUGUUUCGAUGCAUGUAACGAUCAGCUGUUUGCUUAACACGAGCUAGUGAUCAGACAGCUGUUGCCGUUUGCUGGCUAUGGCGACUGAACAUUUGAUCGCUUGUUGCUGGACGCCUAAUUGUUCAACUGAUGACUUUCAUUGGUGCUACUUGCGGUUCAGUGUGAUGUACGACCGUGGAUGAGUAAUUUGAAGAGGAAGUGGUCUAGAGGCGACAAAAUGCCAUGUAAAUUAUCAAAGUGCGCAAUAAAUAUAUGUUCGUAUUACAUGUAUUUUGUUAUGUGAUAGAUGUAGCUUAAUGCGUUUCAAUCGUACAUACUCGUACAUAUAUUGUUCGUAACAUACGGUUGCCAUAAGUACUUACAAAUGAGUCAUAUAAUUUUAAUGCCAUUAAAAUUUAAUUGUAAUAUGUA
Long non-coding RNA from Ceratitis capitata (Mediterranean fruit fly), 908 nucleotides. RefSeq lists it as uncharacterized. NCBI's taxonomy places the organism in Eukaryota, Metazoa, Arthropoda, Insecta, Diptera, Tephritidae. The record is from RefSeq and is a predicted model, not a curated record. The transcript has 3 exons.